UCCCUGGUGGUCCAGUGGUUAAGACUCUGUGCUUUCAUUGCAGGGGGUAAAGGUUCAAUCCCUGAUCAGGGAA
RNAcentral lists this transfer RNA (73 nucleotides) under Ovis aries (sheep). It matches the Rfam family "tRNA". Rfam says of the family: Transfer RNA (tRNA) molecules are approximately 80 nucleotides in length. Their secondary structure includes four short double-helical elements and three loops (D, anti-codon, and T loops). Lineage: Eukaryota; Metazoa; Chordata; Mammalia; Artiodactyla; Bovidae. The record is from Rfam by way of RNAcentral.